GACGAACGCUGGCGGCGUGCUUAACACAUGCAAGUCGAACGGAAAGGCCCUGCUUUUGUGGGGUGCUCGAGUGGCGAACGGGUGAGUAACACGUGAGUAACCUGCCCUUGACUUUGGGAUAACUUCAGGAAACUGGGGCUAAUACCGGAUAGGAGCUCCUGCUGCAUGGUGGGGGUUGGAAAGUUUCGGCGGUUGGGGAUGGACUCGCGGCUUAUCAGCUUGUUGGUGGGGUAGUGGCUUACCAAGGCUUUGACGGGUAGCCGGCCUGAGAGGGUGACCGGCCAAAUUGGGACUGAGCUAAGGCACAGACUCCUACGGGAGGCAGCAGUGGGGAAUAUUGCACAAUGGGCGGAAGCCUGAUGCAGCAACGCCGCGUGCGGGAUGACGGCCUUCGGGUUGUAAACCGCUUUCGCCUGUGACGAAGCGUGAGUGACGGUAAUGGGUAAAGAAGCACCGGCUAACUACGUG
This 468-nucleotide ribosomal RNA is filed under the name uncultured bacterium. Its description in RNAcentral is "partial 16S ribosomal RNA". It matches the Rfam family "Bacterial small subunit ribosomal RNA", at positions 28 to 507 of the family's 1533-position model. The record is from RNAcentral.